UACGUAGGUGGCAAGCGUUGUCCGGAUUUAUUGGGUUUAAAGGGUGCGUAGGUGGUCUAUUAAGUCAGUGCUGAAAUAUCCCGGCUUAACCGGGAGGGUGGCAUUGAUACUGAUGGACUUGAGUAAAGUUGAGGUGGGCGGAAUUGACGGUGUAGCGGUGAAAUGCUUAGAUAUCGUCAAGAACACCUAUUGCGAAGGCAGCUCACUAAGCUUUAACUGGCACUGAGGCACGAAAGUGUGGGGAUCAAACAGG
RNAcentral lists this ribosomal RNA (253 nucleotides) under uncultured bacterium. Its description in RNAcentral is "partial 16S ribosomal RNA". It matches the Rfam family "Bacterial small subunit ribosomal RNA", at positions 524 to 776 of the family's 1533-position model. The record is from RNAcentral.